Molecule: ribosomal RNA, 491 nt
Filed under: uncultured bacterium
Lineage: Bacteria
Description: partial 16S ribosomal RNA
Rfam family: Bacterial small subunit ribosomal RNA
Source: RNAcentral
GAUGAACGCUGGCUACAGGCUUAACACAUGCAAGUCGAGGGGAAACGACGGGGAAGCUUGCUUCCCCGGGCGUCGACCGGCGCACGGGUGAGUAACGCGUAUCCAACCUGCCUCUGACUGAGGGAUAACCCGUCGAGAGUCGGCCUAAUACCUCAUGGCAUCGUCUGCGGGCAUCCAACGACGAUUAAAGAUUUCAUCGGUCAGGGAUGGGGAUGCGUCUGAUUAGCUUGUUGGCGGGGUAACGGCCCACCAAGGCUACGAUCAGUAGGGGUUCUGAGAGGAAGGUCCCCCACAUUGGAACUGAGACACGGUCCAAACUCCUACGGGAGGCAGCAGUGAGGAAUAUUGGUCAAUGGGCGGGAGCCUGAACCAGCCAAGUAGCGUGCAGGAUGACGGCCCUAUGGGUUGUAAACUGCUUUUAUGCGGGGAUAAAGUGAGGGACGUGUCCUUCAUUGCAGGUACCGCAUGAAUAAGGACCGGCUAAUUCCGUG